RNAcentral lists this ribosomal RNA (373 nucleotides) under uncultured organism. RNAcentral describes it as "partial 16S ribosomal RNA". It matches the Rfam family "Bacterial small subunit ribosomal RNA", at positions 527 to 896 of the family's 1533-position model. The record is from RNAcentral.
GUAGGUGGCAAGCGUUGUCCGGAAUUAUUGGGCGUAAAGCGCGCGCAGGCGGUCCUUUAAGUCUGAUGUGAAAGCCCACGGCUCAACCGUGGAGGGUCAUUGGAAACUGGGGGACUUGAGUACAGAAGAGGAAAGCGGAAUUCCAAGUGUAGCGGUGAAAUGCGUAGAGAUUUGGAGGAACACCAGUGGCGAAGGCGGCUUUCUGGUCUGUAACUGACGCUGAGGCGCGAAAGCGUGGGGAGCAAACAGGGAUUAGAUACCCUGGUAGCCCACGCCGUAAACGAUGAGUGCUAAGUGUUAGGGGGUUUCCCGCCCCUUAGUGCUGCAGCUAACGCAUUAAGCACUCCGCCUGGGGAGUACGGCCGCAAGGCUG